This 62-nucleotide transfer RNA is filed under the name Podarcis lilfordi (Lilford's wall lizard). Its description in RNAcentral is "tRNA.Leu". Lineage: Eukaryota; Metazoa; Chordata; Lepidosauria; Squamata; Lacertidae. The record is from RNAcentral.
GCUGGGAUAGCUCAGUCGGUAGAUCUGAGUUCAGGUCGUGGGUUCAAGCCCCACAUUGGGCA